UAGGGAAUUUUGCGCAAUGGACGAAAGUCUGACGCAGCAACGCCGCGUGAGGGAUGAAGGUCUUCGGAUUGUAAACCUCUGUUGAAUGGGAAACAAAGGUAGCAAUACUUUGAUGGUACCAUUUGAGGAAGCACCGGCUAACUACGUGCCAGCAGCCGCGGUAAUACGUAGGGUGCAAGCGUUGUUCGGAAUCACUGGGCGUAAAGGGAGCGUAGGCGGGAUCGUAAGUUAGGAGUUUAAUACAUGGGCUUAACCCGUGGCUGGCUUUUAAUACUGCGGUUCUUGAGUAUGGGAGAGGGCGAUGGAAUUCCAGGUGUAGCGGUGGAAUGCGUAGAUAUCUGGAAGAACACCAGUAGCGAAGGCGGUCGCCUGGCCUAAUACUGACGCUGAUGCUCGAAAGCUAGGGGAGCAAACAGG
Molecule: ribosomal RNA, 417 nt
Filed under: uncultured prokaryote
Also listed under: 1 other name
Description: bacterial SSU rRNA
Rfam family: Bacterial small subunit ribosomal RNA
Source: RNAcentral